CUGGGCGUAAAGCGUGCGCAGGCGGAUUGUUAAGCAAGACGUGAAAGCCCCGGGCUUAACCUGGGAAUGGCGUUUUGAACUGGCAGUCUAGAGUGCGUCAGAGGGGGGUGGAAUUCCACGUGUAGUAGUGAAAUGCGUAGAGAUGUGGAGGAACACCAAUGGCGAAGGCAGCCCCCUGGGAUGACACUGACGCUCAUGUACGAAAGCGUGGGUAGCAAACAGGAUUAGAUACCCUGGUAGUCCACGCCCUAAACGAUGUCAACUGGUUGUUGGGGGAGUGAAAUCCCUUAGUAACGAAGCUAACGCGUGAAGUUGACCGCCUGGGGAGUACGGUCGCAAGAUCAAAACUCAAAGGAAUUGACGGGGACCCGCACAAGCGGUGGAUGAUGUGGAUUAAUUCGAUGCAACGCGAAAAACCUUACCUACCCUUGACAUGUCCAGGAUCCUACAGAGAUGCGGGAGUGCCCGAAAGGGAAUUGGAACACAGGUGCUGCAUGGCUGUCGUCAGCUCGUGUCGUGAGAUGUUGGGUUAAGUCCCGCAACGAGCGCAACCCUUAUCAUUAGUUGCUACGCAAGGGCACUCUAAUGAGACUGCCGGUGACAAACCGGAGGAAGGUGGGGAUGACGUCAAGUCCUCAUGGCCCUUAUGGGUAGGGCUUCACACGUCAUACAAUGGUCGGUACAGAGGGUUGCCAAGCCGCGAGGUGGAGCCAAUCCCAGAAAGCCGAUCGUAGUCCGGAUUGUUCUCUGCAACUCGAGAGCAU
RNAcentral lists this ribosomal RNA (764 nucleotides) under uncultured bacterium. RNAcentral's name for it is "bacterial SSU rRNA". It matches the Rfam family "Bacterial small subunit ribosomal RNA", at positions 554 to 1321 of the family's 1533-position model. The record is from RNAcentral.